This is a non-coding RNA of Equus caballus (horse), 1565 nucleotides long. The record is from RefSeq and is a predicted model, not a curated record. NCBI's taxonomy places the organism in Eukaryota, Metazoa, Chordata, Mammalia, Perissodactyla, Equidae.
CGCGGGGGUGGGAGGCGGGCGGAGAAAGACCGAGACGGAGCCGGUGGUGGAAGGAAGCCAGCCGCCCUUGGAAAGUGGAUUGUCUUACUGAGACAGACGGUUAUAGAGAAAAGUUGCUGAAUAGGAGCGCUUUGGUUGUUUCAGGCAGAGGCGAGCUUUUGAGCUGAUUUGACUCGGCUUCCAAGCCCAGCGAGGACCCUGCGGGAAACCUCGGAGGUGUGUUCCAGUUUGGUAACCCGUGGGCGCUCUCACCUCUCAUCAAUGCGGCUGGAUAGUGAGGGGAGACACCAAGCUCAUUUGAUGGAUUGAAGAAAACACACCUGAACUAAAGCAUAGCAUGCUUUCGUCUUCAGUGUGGCAGCCAUCGAAGACUGAAGAUGUCUUCCAUCACUUCUGCUUCCCUCACUGGGAUUAGCUUCCAGAACCUAUAGACCAUUCAAUACCUCUCCACUGAGGGCAAAUUUCUAUUCUUUGAAGAAGCAUUUAGAAUCAAGACUGGUGACAAAAAUUGGUCAGGUGAUCUAAUUGUUUGGGGCCCCAAACUAAAUGUGGCUAAGAAGCAAUAAGUCCGGUUCUCUUAGGGUGAUAGGAUCGCAUCCUGAAUACUAUCUAAAGGGAGUUCCAAUAUGUUUUUGCAAUGGCUGCAACAUUGGAGUAAGUAGUUUCCAAGGUGGCUGCUGUGAGAGACAGUGCUCAUCUGGAUGGAUAGUUUCUGAAACAUUUUUAAACCUCAUUACUUGGGUCACAACAAAAGUACUGUUUUCCACUUGGAGAACAUCAAUCUGGAGUCUCCAGAAGGAGCAUUUUUUCAAAUCUUGGGGCCCUGAAGUUUCAUCUGUACCAAGAAGAGUGUGUAAGACCCAGAGAGAGGUGAGCCACGUUCCUCCAGUUUGUGGUUUCAGAGCUGCUGGCCCACAGUCCUGGAUGCUAGAUCUCAUUCAGUGUGACUCCAGGGAAUCAUUUCUUUAUAUCUUUUCCUGACCAUCCUCACAGCAUGACAGAGUACCAAAAAGGAAAGGGGACUUCUGCUCCUCGUAUGAUACAGAUAUCACAAGGAUAAUUUCAGAUUAUUUGAGCAAUCAUGACUGCUUAGAACUCAAAGGGACCUUAAAGAUCCUCUAGUCCAAAACAUUUUACUGAUGAAGAUGCUGAGGUGAACUGUCCAAAGUCACACAUCUAGAUGAUGGCCAAACCUGGACUAGAAUUCUGAGACCUCAGAAUCCCCUGUUUUGGGCUCUUUCUUGUGGACUCCUCCAUUUUUUGAGGAAGCACAGGUGGAUACGGAUACAGAAUGCAUUCCAAGAAGUAUGACAGCAGGCCCCUCCUGGAGCCCCCGGGACCCAGAGAUCCACCCAAUAGGAACCCACAAGUCAUUUUUAAAUAGUCAAAAAGCCCCAACAUCACCAUCCAUCUAAUAGCCAUACCAAGACUGCAAAGCAAACUGAAUCGACUGUCUUGGCCUCAGACAGAAACUCAAUCAGCUUUGUCUAUCAACUAUCUGGUACUUGUUAUCAGAGAUUAGCAGUCAUGGUUUUUUGUUCUUUUUAAAAUUGAGGUGUAAUUUA